Molecule: ribosomal RNA, 639 nt
Filed under: uncultured bacterium
Lineage: Bacteria
Description: bacterial SSU rRNA
Rfam family: Bacterial small subunit ribosomal RNA
Source: RNAcentral
GCCGCAGCUAACGCAGUAAGUACCCCGCCUGGGGAGUACGGCCGCAAGGUUGAAACUCAAAGGAAUUGACGGGGGCCCGCACAAGAGGUGGAGCAUGUGGUUUAAUUCGACGCAACGCGAAGAACCUUACCCAGGUUGGACAUGCAAGUAGUAAGAACCUGAAAGGGGGAUGAGCCCUUCGGGGCAGCUUGCUCAGGUGCUGCAUGGCUGUCGUCAGCUCGCGCCGUGAGGUGUUGGGUUAAGUCCCGCAACGAGCGUAACCCCUGUCUUCAGUUGCCAUCGGGUGAUGCCGGGCACUCUGAAGAGACUGCCCAGGAUAACGGGGAGGAAGGUGGGGAUGACGUCAAGUCAGCAUGGCCUUUAUGCCUGGGGCUACACACGUGCUACAAUGACCGGCACAAAGGGUUGCAAUCUCGUAAGAGUGAGCCAAUCUCAAAAAACCGGCCUCAGUUCAGAUUGGGGUCUGCAACUCGACCUCAUGAAGGUGGAAUCUCUAGUAAUCGCGGAUCAGCACGCCGCGGUGAAUACGUUCCCGGGCCUUGUACACACCGCCCGUCACACCACGAAAGUUGGUUGUACCUGAAGUCGCUGAAGCUAACCCGCAAGGGAGGCAGGUGCCCACGGUAUGGUCGAUAAUGG